GUAAGCGCACCGCAAGGCUGGUCUUGUCAAGUCUGAUGUGAAAUCCCCGGGCUCAACCUGGGAACUGCAUUCGAAACUGGCAAGGACUAGAGUCUUGAAGAGGGGGGUAGAAUUCCAGGUGUAGCGGUGAAAUGCGUAGAGAUCUGGAGGAAUACCGGUGGCGAAGGCGACCCCCUGGACUAAAACUGACGCUCAGGUGCGAAAGCGUGGGGAGCAAACAGGAUUAGAUACCCUGGUAGUCCACGCCGUAAACGAUGUCGAUUUGGAGGUUGGGCCCUUGAGGCGCGGAUUCCGGAGCUAACGCGUUAAAUCAACCGCCUGGGGAAUACGGGCGCAAGGAUAAAACUCAAAUGAAUUGACGGGGGCCCCCACCAGCGGGGGAACAUGGGGUUUAAUUCCAUGCAACGCGAAAAACCUUACCUGGGCUUGACAUCCCCAGAACUUACUGGAGAUGGUUUGGUGCCUUCGGGAACUGUGAGACAAGUGCUGCAUGGCUGUCGUCAGCUCGUGUUGUGAAAUGAUGGGUUAAGUCCCGCAACA
Molecule: ribosomal RNA, 540 nt
Filed under: Klebsiella pneumoniae
Lineage: Bacteria; Pseudomonadati; Pseudomonadota; Gammaproteobacteria; Enterobacterales; Enterobacteriaceae
Description: bacterial SSU rRNA
Rfam family: Bacterial small subunit ribosomal RNA
Source: RNAcentral